CGCAUGAGCAAAGGAAAAAUACGUAUCCUUAAGUCAAUACGGGGCACGACAUGCUUCAAUAAGGGACAUUUAAUUCGGGCAACAAUGGGUCAAAGGCCCUCGGCCGAUCACGUUUCUGCAUACAAGACUUUAAGCGACACACAGGCAUCCGUUGCCUGCUAUAAGCCAAAAUGACCAAGCAGGGGCAAAUGUCCAGGUGGGCUUCAAUGUCUACAUCGUAUAGAACAUUUAGCACGAGAUAGAGAAUAGUUCGUGGAACUUGGAAAUUCCGUCAUAUAGGUAUGCUCACAGGGGGCCAAGCCAACCAAGGCAAAAUGUUUUGCACUCGGAAAGAACUGAAAAGGUGUGGUCCCAUGAUUGUCGCUGCCGAGGCAGGGAACCAACCNAAGGGAACAUACC
RNAcentral lists this unclassified non-coding RNA (399 nucleotides) under Elaeosticta nodosa. RNAcentral describes it as "partial external transcribed spacer". The record is from RNAcentral. Lineage: Eukaryota; Viridiplantae; Streptophyta; Magnoliopsida; Apiales; Apiaceae.